AGGAAGCAGCUCCUAGAC
RNAcentral lists this non-coding RNA (18 nucleotides) under Mus musculus (house mouse). Lineage: Eukaryota; Metazoa; Chordata; Mammalia; Rodentia; Muridae. The record is from RNAcentral.